Molecule: ribosomal RNA, 497 nt
Filed under: uncultured bacterium
Lineage: Bacteria
Description: partial 16S ribosomal RNA
Rfam family: Bacterial small subunit ribosomal RNA
Source: RNAcentral
GACGAACGCUGGCGGCGUGCCUAAUACAUGCAAGUUGAGCGCUGAAGGUUGGUACUUGUACCAACUGGAUGAGCAGCGAACGGGUGAGUAACGCGUGGGGAAUCUGCCUUUGAGCGGGGGACAACAUUUGGAAACGAAUGCUAAUACCGCAUAAAAACUUUAAACACAAGUUUUAAGUUUGAAAGAUGCAAUUGCAUCACUCAAAGAUGAUCCCGCGUUGUAUUAGCUAGUUGGCGAGGUAAAGGCUCACCAAGGCGAUGAUACAUAGCCGACCUGAGAGGGUGAUCGGCCACAUUGGGACUGAGACACGGCCCAAACUCCUACGGGAGGCAGCAGUAGGGAAUCUUCGGCAAUGGACGAAAGUCUGACCGAGCAACGCCGCGUGAGUGAAGAAGGUUUUCGGAUCGUAAAACUCUGUUGGUAGAGAAGAACGUUGGUGAGAGUGGAAAGCUCAUCAAGUGACGGUAACUACCCAGAAAGGGACGGCUAACCACGUG